RNAcentral lists this transfer RNA (68 nucleotides) under Heterocephalus glaber (naked mole-rat). It matches the Rfam family "tRNA". From Rfam's summary of the family: Transfer RNA (tRNA) molecules are approximately 80 nucleotides in length. Their secondary structure includes four short double-helical elements and three loops (D, anti-codon, and T loops). Lineage: Eukaryota; Metazoa; Chordata; Mammalia; Rodentia; Bathyergidae. The record is from Rfam by way of RNAcentral.
GGUGUGCAGCUCAGUGGCAGAGCACUUGCCUAGCAUGCAUGAGGCCCUGGGUUCCAUCCCUGGCACCA